CCCGCUGAACUUAAGCAUAUCAAUAAGCGGAGGAAAAGAAACUAACAAGGAUUCCCCUAGUAACUGCGAGUGAAGCGGGAAAAGCUCAAAUUUGAAAUCCGGCGGUUCUGCCGUCCGAGUUGUAUUCUGGAGAAGUGCCUUCCGUGCCGGACCGUGUACAAGUCCCUUGGAACAGGGCGUCAUAGAGGGUGAGAAUCCCGUCUUUGACACGGACUGCCGGUGCUCUGUGAUGCGCUCUCGAAGAGUCGAGUUGUUUGGGAAUGCAGCUCAAAACGGGUGGUAAAUUCCAUCUAAAGCUAAAUAUUGGCGAGAGACCGAUAGCGAACAAGUACCGUGAGGGAAAGAUGAAAAGCACUUUGGAAAGAGAGUAAAACAGUACGUGAAAUUGUUGAAAGGGAAACGCUUGAAGUCAGUCGCGUCUGCCGGAACUCAGCCUUGCUUCUGCUUGGUGCACUUUCCGGUUUGAUGGGCCAGCAUCGGUUUUGCGAGGCGGACACUGGCGGGUGGAAGGUGGCGGCUCCGGUCGCGUUAUAGCCUCCCGUCGCGAACGCCUUGUGGGACCGAGGAAUCCGGCGCAAGCCUGGGAUGCUGGCGUAAUGGCUUUAAACGACCCGUCUUGAAACACGG
This 627-nucleotide ribosomal RNA is filed under the name uncultured fungus. RNAcentral describes it as "eukaryotic LSU rRNA". It matches the Rfam family "Eukaryotic large subunit ribosomal RNA", at positions 24 to 664 of the family's 3401-position model. The record is from RNAcentral. Lineage: Eukaryota; Fungi.